AACAAUAUAAAUAUAAAUAUUUUAACAUAUGAGUAAUGCUAUUUAGACACACAAUAUUGACCACCUUAGCUGACCACCUUAUGUGGCAGCUGAGGUGUCUUGCCAUGUCAAUUAAUGAAUAUUGCCAUGUGUAUUCUAUUUUUUCUUUUUCUUUUUUCAAUAAUCCUUAAAAAACAAAAACAUUACAAAUUAAAAAUCAAAUUAAAA
Molecule: long non-coding RNA, 207 nt
Filed under: Prunus persica (peach)
Lineage: Eukaryota; Viridiplantae; Streptophyta; Magnoliopsida; Rosales; Rosaceae
Description: long non-coding RNA (PPER_LNC007602)
Source: RNAcentral